Gasterosteus aculeatus aculeatus (three-spined stickleback) is the source of this 1301-nucleotide long non-coding RNA. The record is from Ensembl. Lineage: Eukaryota; Metazoa; Chordata; Actinopteri; Perciformes; Gasterosteidae.
UUUGUGUAUGAUUCGUCUGAAACUCAUUCAUAAAGGAUGAGCGAUGUAAGUGCAAUUUGUGCCAUUGCCAUGACGUGAGCCUCGUGAUGUGGCUUUUCCUGUAAAAAAUGAACAUGAAAGUUUCACUUCACAAUCAGAUUAUGUUGUUUCAGAGGAAAUGAAAUACAGAAGUCGUUGUCAUCAUAGAUGCAGACGUUUAGAAAACCCCUAAUGCUUAUCAAGAGAUUGGGGGAUUUUUAUUGGUUGUUUGAAAAAUACUUCUGCCUAAAAUUAAGUAACCAGGAUAAGUCAGGUGAAGAUCUCAGAGUGUAAUGCAGUUAAGUAUUAGAGUGUAUCAAUGUGUGUGAUGUAAUUCGUGUCUGCGACGCCAGGAUUACAGACACAAGUCCACAUUCUGUUCCUUGAGGAACUCCUCUUGUGUGCAAAGCACUUCAGAGCUUCACUGCAGCAGGUAUGUCGGGUCAAUCAGCCGCUAAAUUGCAGCUCACAGUCAAAUAAAAAUGUGUGUUUUGGGCCCCAAGGUAAGUGAGCUUUAAGGAUUUACGUAAUUAUUUAGAGAAUAUUGAGCUUUCAACUGUUCACGCUUUGUCUUCCUCUCGUUGUGUUUUGAAUCCCCAGUUCACAUCUCAAUGUUUGAGAUCCGCACGACGUCAGACGUUUGGAGAGGGGACAUCUGCUUCCUGACUCAAAUGACCCGCCAUUUACACCCGACACUCCUACUUUCUCACCCUUUCAUCAAUCAAUGGAGCCGAUGACGCAUGUAGGUCACACCACUACACCUUCCUUUAUGGUUUCCACAUGAGUCUUUCAUCCACGCAUAUUCAGCCUGGAGGCCAUGUUUAUUGCAUGUGAUGUGAUGCUUAACCGUAGCGAGUCUCCAAGCCCGUUCCCGCUAAGUGCCUCUGUACUUCAUAAACACAGUCGCUGGCCUCUGUCUUGAAAAGCACACUCAUGCAUGGAGGAUCUCCACCGCAAAUCGCAAAACUAUUAAACCACAGUGGAGGGCAAGCGAUUUUACUGCAAAAAUGAUAAUUUCCCUGCUGGAGCUGUUAAGAUAGCUGUUUUACCUCCGUUGAGGCUUGUGUAACACCAUCUCUAGCACACUCCAAUGGUGCCAAAGAAUUCCAGGAGGUCCUUCUGUGAACAGGACAUCGCAUUUCAUUCAUACCCAUUGAUUCUUGAGCUGCACCUCUCCAUAAUGGGCUUGUUCAAUGUAGUUCAGACCAAAAGUGCUUUGAUUAGUGCAAACGAUCUCCGUAAUAGAACAAUUGGCUUGCUUGUUGGUAAAAUGUGUAAAGUGG